GGUUGAUCCUGCCAGCAAUCAUAUGCUUGUCUCAAAGAUUAAGCCAUGCAUGUCUAAGUAUAAGUAAUUAUACAGCGAAACUGCGAAUGGCUCAUUAUAUCAGUUAUAAUCUACUUGAUGAUUCUAUUCUACAUGGAUAACUGUAGGAAUUCUAGAGCUAAUACAUGCCAAAGGACUGGACCGGGGGUAACCUUGGGAAGGUCGCGUUUAACAGCGGAGAAACUAAUAUGGGACGCAAGUUCCAUUUUAAAAGAUGAUUCAUGUUAAGACUUUC
Molecule: ribosomal RNA, 274 nt
Filed under: uncultured eukaryote
Lineage: Eukaryota
Description: partial 18S ribosomal RNA
Rfam family: Eukaryotic small subunit ribosomal RNA
Source: RNAcentral